GCAUAAUCAUUAGUCUUUUAAUUGAAGGCUGGUAUGAAUGGUUGGAUGAGGUACAAGCUGUGUCAUAAAAAUUAACUUUAGAAUUUACCUUUUUAGUCAAAAGGCUAAAAUAAAAUUAAAAGACGAGAAGACCCUAUAGAGCUUUAUAUAAUUUGUAUUUAAAUUAUUCAGAUUUUUUAAAUUUAAUUAUUUUAUUGUAUUUUGUUGGGGUGACAAUAAAAUUUAUAAAACUUUUAUUUUUAUUGACCAUUUAUUUAUGAGUAUAUGAUCCAGUUUUAUUGAUUAUAAAUUUAAGUUACCUUAGGGAUAACAGCGUAAUUUUUUUUGAGAGUUCUUAUCGA
RNAcentral lists this ribosomal RNA (341 nucleotides) under Simulium venustum. Its description in RNAcentral is "partial 16S ribosomal RNA". Lineage: Eukaryota; Metazoa; Arthropoda; Insecta; Diptera; Simuliidae. The record is from RNAcentral.